GUGUGAUUGGAUAGAACACAGUAAGUCUCUCUCUCAGUAAGGUGUGAUUGGAUAGAACACAGUAAGUCUCUCUCUCAGUAAGGUGUGAUUGGAUAGAACACAGUAAGUCUCUCUCUCUCAGUAAGGUGUGAUUGGAUAGAACACAGUAAGUCUCUCUCUCUCAGUAAGGUGUGAUUGGAUAGAACACAGUAAGUCUCUCUCUCUCAGUAAGGUGUGAUUGGAUAGAACACAGUAAGUCUCUCUCUCAGUAAGGUGUGAUUGGAUAGAACACAGUAAGUCUCUCUCUCAGUAAGGUGUGAUUGGAUAGAACACAGUAAGUCUCUCUCUCAGUAAGGUGUGAUUGGAUAGAACACAGUAAGUCUCUCUCUCUCAGUAAGGUGUGAUUGGAUAGAACACAGUAAGUCUCUCUCUCUCAGUAAGGUGUGAUUGGAUAGAACACAGUAAGUCUCUCUCUCUCAGUAAGGUGUGAUUGGAUAGAACACAGUAAGUCUCUCUCUCAGUAAGGUGUGAUUGGAUAGAACACAGUAAGUCUCUCUCUCUCAGUAAGGUGUGAUUGGAUAGAACACAGUAAGUCUCUCUCUCAGUAAGGUGUGAUUGGAUAGAACACAGUAAGUCUCUCUCUCUCAGUAAGGUGUGAUUGGAUAGAACACAGUAAGUCUCUCUCUCUCAGUAAGGUGUGAUUGGAUAGAACACAGUAAGUCUCUCUCUCUCAGUAAGGUGUGAUUGGAUAGAACACAGUAAGUCUCUCUCUCUCAGUAAGGUGUGAUUGGAUAGAACACAGUAAGUCUCUCUCUCUCAGUAAGGUGUGAUUGGAUAGAACACAGUAAGUCUCUCUCUCAGUAAGGUGUGAUUGGAUAGAACACAGUAAGUCUCUCUCUCAGUAAGGUGUGAUUGGAUAGAACACAGUAAGUCUCUCUCUCAGUAAGGUGUGAUUGGAUAGAACACAGUAAGUCUCUCUCUCAGUAAGGUGUGAUUGGAUAGAACACAGUAAGUCUCUCUCUCAGUAAGGUGUGAUUGGAUAGAACACAGUAAGUCUCUCUCUCUCUCAGUAAGGUGUGAUUGGAUAGAACACAGUAAGUCUCUCUCUCAGUAAGGUGUGAUUGGAUAGAACACAGUAAGUCUCUCUCUCAGUAAGGUGUGAUUGGAUAGAACACAGUAAGUCUCUCUCUCUCAGUAAGGUGUGAUUGGAUAGAACACAGUAAGUCUCUCUCUCUCUCAGUAAGGUGUGAUUGGAUAGAACACAGUAAGUCUCUCUCUCAGUAAGGUGUGAUUGGAUAGAACACAGUAAGUCUCUCUCUCAGUAAGGUGUGAUUGGAUAGAACACAGUAAGUCUCUCUCUCUCAGUAAGGUGUGAUUGGAUAGAACACAGUAAGUCUCUCUCUCAGUAAGGUGUGAUUGGAUAGAACACAGUAAGUCUCUCUCUCUCAGUAAGGUGUGAUUGGAUAGAACACAGUAAGUCUCUCUCUCAGUAAGGUGUGAUUGGAUAGAACACAGUAAGUCUCUCUCUCUCAGUAAGGUGUGAUUGGAUAGAACACAGUAAGUCUCUCUCUCAGUAAGGUGUGAUUGGAUAGAACACAGUAAGUCUCUCUCUCAGUAAGGUGUGAUUGGAUAGAACACAGUAAGUCUCUCUCUCUCAGUAAGGUGUGAUUGGAUAGAACACAGUAAGUCUCUCUCUCAGUAAGGUGUGAUUGGAUAGAACACAGUAAGUCUCUCUCUCAGUAAGGUGUGAUUGGAUAGAACACAGUAAGUCUCUCUCUCAGUAAGGUGUGAUUGGAUAGAACACAGUAAGUCUCUCUCUCAGUAAGGUGUGAUUGGAUAGAACACAGUAAGUCUCUCUCUCUCAGUAAGGUGUGAUUGGAUAGAACACAGUAAGUCUCUCUCAGUAAGGUGUGAUUGGAUAGAACACAGUAAGUCUCUCUCAGUAAGGUGUGAUUGGAUAGAACACAGUAAGUCUCUCUCUCAGUAAGGUGUGAUUGGAUAGAACACAGUAAGUCUCUCUCUCUCAGUAAGGUGUGAUUGGAUAGAACACAGUAAGUCUCUCUCUCAGUAAGGUGUGAUUGGAUAGAACACAGUAAGUCUCUCUCAGUAAGGUGUGAUUGGAUAGAACACAGUAAGUCUCUCUCUCAGUAAGGUGUGAUUGGAUAGAACACAGUAAGUCUCUCUCUCAGUAAGGUGUGAUUAGAUAGAACACAGUAAGUCUCUCUCUCUCUCAGUAAGGUGUGAUUGGAUAGAACACAGUAAGUCUCUCUCUCAGUAAGGUGUGAUUAGAUAGAACACAGUAAGUCUCUCUCUCUCAGUAAGGUGUGAUUAGAUAGAACACAGUA
Long non-coding RNA from Oncorhynchus keta (chum salmon), 2324 nucleotides. RefSeq lists it as uncharacterized. Lineage: Eukaryota; Metazoa; Chordata; Actinopteri; Salmoniformes; Salmonidae. The transcript is spliced from 4 exons. The record is from RefSeq and is a predicted model, not a curated record.